UGUUAAAAAUUUCAUAUAUUUAUAUUAUUAAAAACCGGCAUGGCUACAAAAUAACUAGACAGUAAUGUGUGGCGUGUCAUGUGUGCCUCAUGCUGACGUACGUGGACCAAUUUUUAAUAGUAGAAACAUGAAAUUUUUAACA
Molecule: non-coding RNA, 142 nt
Organism: Gossypium raimondii (Peruvian cotton)
Lineage: Eukaryota; Viridiplantae; Streptophyta; Magnoliopsida; Malvales; Malvaceae
Source: Rfam